ACGUCGUGAGACAGUUCGGUCCCUAUCCGCUGUGCGCGUAGGAGUCUUGAGAAGGGCUGUCCCUAGUACGAGAGGACCGGGACGGACGAACCUCUGGUGUGCCAGUUGUUCUGCCAAGGGCAUGGCUGGUUGGCUACGUUCGGGAGGGAUAACCGCUGAAAGCAUCUAAGCGGGAAGCCUGCUUCGAGAUGAGGACUCCCACCCACUUGAUGGGGUAAGGCUCCCAGUAGACGACUGGGUUGAUAGGCCAGGUGUGGAAGACCGGUAACGGUUGGAGCUGACUGGUACUAAUAGGCCGAGGGCUUGUCCUCAGUUG
This 316-nucleotide ribosomal RNA is filed under the name Streptomyces morookaense. RNAcentral's name for it is "partial 23S ribosomal RNA". It matches the Rfam family "Bacterial large subunit ribosomal RNA", at positions 2616 to 2925 of the family's 2925-position model. Lineage: Bacteria; Bacillati; Actinomycetota; Actinomycetes; Kitasatosporales; Streptomycetaceae. The record is from RNAcentral.